CGAAGGCGAGCUGUCUGGAAGUUUCCACCCGUCCCUGCUGAGCAACUACUAAAAAUGAAUUCAGAGACUAUGUGGACGGGACAAAGCAUACCAAGGAAACAGGCAUGACGUCUGCAAACACGAUAUCCCUAAAUGUAUCACCCCUAUCCUGACCUUCAAUCAGAUUCUAGGAAAGUUGGUAGGGUCAGAAAUGGAUAAUCUGUAAAGACCUAAAUGUUUGUUGAAGGAUUGCAAAAGUCCUUUGCUAGCAUGAAGGACAUGCAAACUGGGUAAGUAAUGGAGACUGUUCCUUGUUAUCUGUCUUUCAGUUUCCAGAAUAUUAUCUCUCCCUGAUAAACAGCUCUUUAUUUUUCUAUUCAGUACUAUUUCUAAGUACUUUUUUAUUGUGCUUUUUAGCUUAGUGUACUUCUUUUGUGUGAAGUGUUUUGGAAAUGAGAUUGUGAUUGUGUUUAUUUCUCUGAAACCUCUCUAAAUGCCUAUAUAUUCACACACACUGCUCAGUCAUUUCACAGCUAAGGCAAGUGCAAAACUCUAUACCUCUCCCAUGAUAAUGUUAUCAAGAGUUUAAGGUUCUUUGGAAAAAAGAAAGAAGUUGCUUUUCUAUUACAUUGGAGAAAAAUGGUUCCCAAAACACCACACUCCAAAAAAUCAACCACUUAGCAUAAUCCUAGAACUAGUUUAAAAACAUUUGAAUGAGCUUUAGAUGUAUAAUCCAGAACAAAUGGAUACAAACUGAAAUAAUAAACAAGAAAAAUGAUAUAAAGCUGAAUGGUGGUUUCCCCAGCAAAUGUUGAAAAAGCAGAAGCCAAUAUGGCCUAAUUCAUUGCCCAUCCUUGUCCAUUUCUCAAAGUUUCUGCUUCAUAUCAUUUUUAUGGAGAGGCAGACUAGAGAUUAAUCC
This is a long non-coding RNA of Crotalus tigris (Tiger rattlesnake), 898 nucleotides long. RefSeq lists it as uncharacterized. Lineage: Eukaryota; Metazoa; Chordata; Lepidosauria; Squamata; Viperidae. The record is from RefSeq and is a predicted model, not a curated record. The transcript has 3 exons.